CCUACGGGAGGCAGCAGUAGGGAAUCUUCCGCAAUGGACGAAAGUCUGAUGGAGCAAUGCCGCGUGAGUGAAGAAGGUUUUCGGAUCGUAAAGCUCUGUUGUGAGGGAAGAACAAGUACGGGAGUAACUGUCCGUACCUUGACGGUACCUCAUUAGAAAGCCACGGCUAACUACGUGCCAGCAGCCGCGGUAAU
Molecule: ribosomal RNA, 194 nt
Filed under: uncultured bacterium
Lineage: Bacteria
Description: partial 16S ribosomal RNA
Rfam family: Bacterial small subunit ribosomal RNA
Source: RNAcentral